UGGGGAAUAUUGCACAAUGGGCGAAAGCCUGAUGCAGCGACGCCGCGUGAGGGACGAAGGUCUUCGGAUUGUAAACCUCUUUCAGCAGGGACGAAGCGAAAGUGACUGUACCUGCAGAAGAAGCACCGGCUAACUACGUGCCAGCAGCCGCGGUAAUACGUAGGGUGCAAGCGUUGUCCGGAUUUAUUGGGCGUAAAGAGCUCGUAGGCGGUUCGUCACGUCGGAUGUGAAAACCUGGGGCUUAACCCCGGGCCUGCAUACGAUACGGGCGAACUAGAGUUCGGUAGGGGAGACUGGAAUUCCUGGUGUAGCGGUGAAAUGCGCAGAUAUCAGGAGGAACACCGGUGGCGAAGGCGGGUCUCUGGGCCGAUACUGACGCUGAGGAGCGAAAGCGUGGGGAGCAAACA
This 407-nucleotide ribosomal RNA is filed under the name uncultured bacterium. RNAcentral's name for it is "bacterial SSU rRNA". It matches the Rfam family "Bacterial small subunit ribosomal RNA", at positions 355 to 774 of the family's 1533-position model. The record is from RNAcentral.